This 366-nucleotide transfer RNA is filed under the name uncultured Microcystis sp. RNAcentral's name for it is "partial miscellaneous RNA". The stretch from base 134 to 207 matches the Rfam family "tRNA". Lineage: Bacteria; Bacillati; Cyanobacteriota; Cyanophyceae; Chroococcales; Microcystaceae. The record is from RNAcentral.
AAGGGAGACCUAAUUCAGGUAGGAGACGAAAAAAAGUAGUCCCUACCAAGAAUCAAUCCCAAAAGGUCGGAGCGAGGCAAAAUUGGCUUUCAAACUAGGUUCUGGGUUCACAUAAGACCUGAAUCAGGAACAAGGGCUAUUAGCUCAGGUGGUUAGAGCGCACCCCUGAUAAGGGUGAGGUCCCUGGUUCGAGUCCAGGAUGGCCCACCUGCACAGGUGGCAAAAACAAAGAAAAGAAGCUCCGAAUCAGCACCUUAUCUUACUCAUAUAGUAAGAGAGAAUGCUGGCUCUGAGUUCAGAGUCCAGAGGAACCUUGAAAACUGCAUAGAGCUAGGUGAAAAAGCCAAAAAAGAAGACCGCAUGCAA